RNAcentral lists this transfer RNA (58 nucleotides) under Salmo salar (Atlantic salmon). It matches the Rfam family "tRNA", at positions 8 to 63 of the family's 71-position model. From Rfam's summary of the family: Transfer RNA (tRNA) molecules are approximately 80 nucleotides in length. Their secondary structure includes four short double-helical elements and three loops (D, anti-codon, and T loops). The record is from Rfam by way of RNAcentral. Lineage: Eukaryota; Metazoa; Chordata; Actinopteri; Salmoniformes; Salmonidae.
UGGCUCAUUUGGUAGAGCAUGGUGUUUGCAAUGCCAGGGUUGUGGGUUAGAUUCCCAC